Molecule: ribosomal RNA, 497 nt
Filed under: uncultured bacterium
Lineage: Bacteria
Description: partial 16S ribosomal RNA
Rfam family: Bacterial small subunit ribosomal RNA
Source: RNAcentral
GAUGAACGCUGGCGGCGUGCCUAAUACAUGCAAGUCGAGCGAACAGACGAGGAGCUUGCUCCUCUGACGUUAGCGGCGGACGGGUGAGUAACACGUGGAUAACCUACCUAUAAGACUGGGAUAACUUCGGGAAACCGGAGCUAAUACCGGAUAAUAUAUUGAACCGCAUGGUUCAAUAGUGAAAGACGGUUUUGCUGUCACUUAUAGAUGGAUCCGCGCCGCAUUAGCUAGUUGGUAAGGUAACGGCUUACCAAGGCGACGAUGCGUAGCCGACCUGAGAGGGUGAUCGGCCACACUGGAACUGAGACACGGUCCAGAUUCCUACGGGAGGCAGCAGUAGGGAAUCUUCCGCAAUGGGCGAAAGCCUGACGGAGCAACGCCGCGUGAGUGAUGAAGGUCUUCGGAUCGUAAAACUCUGUUAUUAGGGAAGAACAAAUGUGUAAGUAACUAUGCACGUCUUGACGGUACCUAAUCAGAAAGCCACGGCUAACUACGUG